CCUACGGGCGGCUGCAGUGGGGAAUAUUGCACAAUGGAGGCAACUCUGAUGCAGCGACGCCGCGUGAACGAAGAAGGCUUUCGAGUCGUAAAGUUCUGUCCUUGGGGAAGAAAAAAGACGGUACCCAAGGAGGAAGCCCCGGCUAACUACGUGCCAGCAGCCGCGGUAAUACGUAGGGGGCGAGCGUUGUCCGGAAUUAUUGGGCGUAAAGGGUUCGCAGGCGGUCAAAUAAGUCAAGUGUGAAAAGUGCAGGCUCAACCUGUAUAAGCACGUGAAACUGUAUGACUUGAGUUAAGGAGAGGAAAGUGGAAUUCCUAGUGUAGCGGUGAAAUGCGUAGAUAUUAGGAGGAAUACCAGUGGCGAAGGCGACUUUCUGGACUUAAACUGACGCUGAGGAACGAAAGCGUGGGUAGCAAACAGGAUUAGAUACCCCAGUAGUC
Molecule: ribosomal RNA, 440 nt
Filed under: uncultured Eubacteriales bacterium
Lineage: Bacteria; Bacillati; Bacillota; Clostridia; Eubacteriales
Description: bacterial SSU rRNA
Rfam family: Bacterial small subunit ribosomal RNA
Source: RNAcentral